RNAcentral lists this transfer RNA (67 nucleotides) under Marmota monax (woodchuck). RNAcentral describes it as "tRNA.Ala". It matches the Rfam family "tRNA". From Rfam's summary of the family: Transfer RNA (tRNA) molecules are approximately 80 nucleotides in length. Their secondary structure includes four short double-helical elements and three loops (D, anti-codon, and T loops). Further hydrogen bonds mediate the characteristic L-shaped molecular structure. tRNAs have two regions of fundamental functional importance: the anti-codon, which is responsible for specific mRNA codon recognition, and the 3' end, to which the tRNAs corresponding amino acid is attached (by aminoacyl-tRNA synthetases). tRNAs cope with the degeneracy of the genetic code in two manners: having more than one tRNA (with a specific anti-codon) for a particular amino acid; and 'wobble' base-pairing, i.e. permitting non-standard base-pairing at the 3rd anti-codon position. Lineage: Eukaryota; Metazoa; Chordata; Mammalia; Rodentia; Sciuridae. The record is from RNAcentral.
GGUUGUGGUUCAGUGGUAGAGCCCUUGCCUUGCAUGCAUGAGGCACUGGGUUCGAUCCCCGGCACCA